This is a long non-coding RNA of Orcinus orca (killer whale), 2371 nucleotides long. RefSeq lists it as uncharacterized. The record is from RefSeq and is a predicted model, not a curated record. The transcript is spliced from 6 exons. NCBI's taxonomy places the organism in Eukaryota, Metazoa, Chordata, Mammalia, Artiodactyla, Delphinidae.
GAGGGGGCGGCGGCGGAAGCGACGCGCGCGGCCAGGCCGGGUGCAUGAUGAAAUCGCCGCGUAAACGCCGCGGUGCGCGCGCAGCCGCACAUUCCCCACCCCCGACGCGGCGUCGGGUCGCCACCAGCCGAUUCGACACAAAAUCCCGGAAGGACCCGGAGUCCCUCAGAGACCCGAGAGGGCUUACCCCACAGUGGGCGCACGGGAGGGCUGCGAGGUCCCAAGUAGAAUCCCCCCCAGCGAACAGAUUUGCACGAUUAUGCGUCAGUGGGCCUUCAAGGACGCAGCUCCAUCCGACACAUGCUGACCGAAACUCACGAGGACCUUCAGAGCACAGGCUUGUACAGGGGCACUGACGCCCUGGCUGACCGACGGGAGUACACACUUCUGUUUGUGUUCUUUCGCCCCCUGGUUCUUAAAGGCUCAUUAGACAUCACAUCAGAUAAGGACUUAGACUCAGUGUUGCUCAGCUCAGAUGAUCCUCCGAUAAGGAAACAGAUCGAGAGGUUAAUGAUUUGCCCACCUUCACCCAUCCAUGCCUUCCAAUGUCAAGACAAAAGUUGGGGAAAGGAAGGGGAAGAAUGACGGGCUUUUUGGAGAAGAUCAGUGCUGACCAGCCUUUGAAGGGCGAACAAGAUUUGAAUCAGCAGAGAUGAGGAAAGUCUGGGAAAAGAUAAUGUGCCAGAGAGUGGAGAUGAGCGUCCAGGUGCCUGGGAUUCCCUCUGCCUGGCCUUGCUUCAGCUGACCUCCCUCUUGUAGUUAGGCCCCCGCUGAUGGACCCUCCGGAAAUGGCUUCUUCCCUUCCUCCUGCCCCAAGGGCGGGUUGGCUGCAAAAGCUGGAUUCUCUUUCUACAGAGGGAAUAGAAAAAUAAAGAAUGUAUUAGUUAUAGAAAUAGCAUUGCACACAGCCACCAGAAUGCCUAAAAUGGAAAUGAUGGAAAGUGCAAAGUGAUGCUCUGGGACUCUCUCACACAGCUGAGAGGAAUGUGGAUUUGUACAGCCACUUUGGAGAACUCUUUGACAGUGGCUACUGAAGCCAACCAUACACACCUUAUGGGUGACCAGCAGUUCCACCCUAGGAGUAUACAAGAGUAGACAAGCUCAACAGAGUGAAGUCACCUUUCCCAGAACUGUGAAAUUUCAUAUUACUUCUCUUCCUGUUCCGGUUUGUGGUUCUGGAGAAGUACACACAAUUUCCCAUGAGCAGAGCAGAACGCGGGCCUCUCUCUGUUGUGACCUCUCCCGUUGCGGAGCACAGGCUCCGGACGCGCAGGCUCAACGGCCAUGGCUCAUGGGCCCAGCCGCUCCGCGGCAUGUGGGAUCUUCCCGGACCAGAGCACGAACCCGUGUCGCCUGUAUCGGCAGGCGGACUCUCAACCACUGCGCCACCAGGGAAGCCUUGUUAUCUGUGUUCUUUUUGAUGAUAACCAUUCUGGCAGUGUUAGUACAGACACUGAAAAACGCUCACUGAUCAAUGUCCCUGUGAUGGAUGACACAUUCAUUGACCAAAUACGAAUUGAGAAGCUUCUCGGAGCCAAAUCAGAAGAUAGGCACUAGAGGGUACAGAGACAACACAGUCACUGCCCCUGGCCUCAGGGUGAGAGCAAAGCAGCCACAUAAUUGCCAUACGAUGUGGCUCCGGACGCGCAGGCUCAGCGGCCAUGGCUCACGGGCCCAGCCACUCCGCGGCAUGUGGGAUCUUCCCGGACCGGGGCACGAACCCGUGUCCCCUGCAUCGGCAGGCGGACUCUCAACCACUGCGCCACCAGUUCCUGCUUGAUUAUACUGAGGUUAAAGAUUUUUGGAAACAAUACUUCUCAAAUGAUGCUGGUGCUUCAUACUGUAUCACAUCUGGAGACACAUAAUGUCAGGAGGAGCCAGAUCAUUGCAGCUCUAUUUACAAUAGCCAGGACAUGGAAGCAACCUAAGUGUCCAUCGACAGAUGAAUGGAUAAAGAAGAUGUGGCACAUACAUACAAUGGACUAUUACUCAGAUAUAACAAGAAACGAAAUUGAGUUAUUUGUAGUGAGGUGGAUGGACCUAGAGACUGUCAUACAGAGUAAAGUAAGUCAGAAAGAGAAAAACAAAUACCGUAUGCUAACACAUACAUAUGGAAUCUAAAAAUGGUCUGAAGAACCUAGGGGCAGGACCGGAAUAAAGACACAGACAUAGAGAAUAGACUUGAGGACACGGGGAGGGGGAAGGGUAAGCUGGGACGAAGUGAGGGAGUGGCAUGGACAUAUAUACACUACUAAAUGUAAAACAGCUAGCUAGUGGGAAGCAGCCGUAUGGCACAGGGAGAUCAGCUGGGUGCUUUGUGACCACUUACAGGGGUGGGAUAGGGAGGGUGGGAGGGAGGGAUAUGUAAGAG